Molecule: ribosomal RNA, 1539 nt
Filed under: Bacteroidales bacterium
Lineage: Bacteria; Pseudomonadati; Bacteroidota; Bacteroidia; Bacteroidales
Description: partial 16S ribosomal RNA
Rfam family: Bacterial small subunit ribosomal RNA
Source: RNAcentral
AACAACGGAGAGUUUGAUCCUGGCUCAGGAUGAACGCUAGCGGCAGGCUUAACACAUGCAAGUCGAGGGGCAGCGGGGAGGAAGCUUGCUUUCUCCGCCGGCGACCGGCGCACGGGUGAGUAACACGUAUGCAACCUGCCCCUGUCAGGGGGACAACCCGCCGAAAGGCGGGCUAAACCCGCGUACAUGCCACCGGGGCAUCCCGGAGGCAGGAAAGGCUUCGGCCGGACAGGGAUGGGCAUGCGGCGCAUUAGGCAGUAGGCGGGGUAACGGCCCACCUAACCGACGAUGCGUAGGGGUUCUGAGAGGAAGGUCCCCCACACUGGUACUGAGACACGGACCAGACUCCUACGGGAGGCAGCAGUGAGGAAUAUUGGUCAAUGGUCGGGAGACUGAACCAGCCAAGCCGCGUGAGGGAGGAAGGUACAGAGUAUCGUAAACCUCUUUUGUCAGGGAACAAARCGGGGACGYGUCCCCGGAUGAGUGUACCUGAAGAAAAAGCAUCGGCUAACUCCGUGCCAGCAGCCGCGGUAAUACGGAGGAUGCGAGCGUUAUCCGGAUUUAUUGGGUUUAAAGGGUGCGCAGGCGGUCUGUUAAGUCAGCGGUCAAAGCCCGGGGCUCAACCCCGGCCCGCCGUUGAAACUGGCAGUCUCGAGUUGGAGAGAAGUAUGCGGAAUGCGCGGUGUAGCGGUGAAAUGCAUAGAUAUCGCGCAGAACUCCGAUUGCGAAGGCAGCAUGCCGGCUCCACACUGACGCUGAGGCACGAAAGCGUGGGUAUCGAACAGGAUUAGAUACCCUGGUAGUCCACGCAGUAAACGAUGAAUGCUGGCUGUCCGGGGGGAYUGACCCCUGGGUGGCGAAGCGAAAGCGAUAAGCAUUCCACCUGGGGAGUACGCCGGCAACGGUGAAACUCAAAGGAAUUGACGGGGGCCCGCACAAGCGGAGGAACAUGUGGUUUAAUUCGAUGAUACGCGAGGAACCUUACCCGGGCUCAAACGGGGAGUGACUCAGGCAGAGACGCCUGUUUCCCACGGGACACUCCCCGAGGUGCUGCAUGGUUGUCGUCAGCUCGUGCCGUGAGGUGUCGGCUUAAGUGCCAUAACGAGCGCAACCCCCGCGUGCAGUUGCUAACAGWYAACGCUGAGGACUCUGCACGGACUGCCGGCGCAAGCCGCGAGGAAGGCGGGGAUGACGUCAAAUCAGCACGGCCCUUACGUCCGGGGCGACACACGUGUUACAAUGGGUGGUACAGCGGGAAGCCAGGCGGCGACGCCGAGCGGAACCCGAAAUCCACUCUCAGUUCGGAUCGGAGUCUGCAACCCGACUCCGUGAAGCUGGAUUCGCUAGUAAUCGCGCAUCAGCCAUGGCGCGGUGAAUACGUUCCCGGGCCUUGUACACACCGCCCGUCAAGCCAUGGGAGCCGAGGGCGCUUGAAGUGCGUCGCCGCGAGGCGCGCCCUAGAGCGAAAUCGGUGACUGGGGCUAAGUCGUAACAAGGUAGCCGUACCGGAAGGUGCGGCUGGAACACCUCCUUUCUGGA